Small nucleolar RNA from Ochotona princeps (American pika), 95 nucleotides. Its record names the gene SNORD21. It matches the Rfam family "Small nucleolar RNA SNORD21". Rfam says of the family: U21 is a member of the C/D class of snoRNA which contain the C (UGAUGA) and D (CUGA) box motifs. U21 is encoded within an intron of the gene for ribosomal protein L5 in mammals, but within introns of the ADP ribosylation factor gene in Drosophila. U21 snoRNA has a 13 nt region of complementarity with an invariant region of eukaryotic 28S ribosomal RNA. Lineage: Eukaryota; Metazoa; Chordata; Mammalia; Lagomorpha; Ochotonidae. The record is from Ensembl.
GCUGAGUGAUGAUAUCCCAGUAACUGAGCUGUCCGCAGUUGGUCCUUCGGCUGCAUAUGAUGCAACAAUUGUUUCAAGACGGGACUGAUAGCAGC